UCCCAAACGCGCUGGCCUGAUACUCGGUGAACACGGGACGUGCGACCGUACUGGUGGCGUUCAGCAACAAGCUGCUUUCGUCCCCCGAGACCAGCGGGCUUCUCCCCAGUGGAUUUCUUCUAAACUGCAAGGCUGCAAUGCUGUCAAUUCUGUUUGGAGAAGCCAAGGACAAGCUGUCAGGUUGUGAGGUAGCCCUGGGAGAAGAAAGCCAACUGCUACACCUUG
Long non-coding RNA from Leopardus geoffroyi (Geoffroy's cat), 225 nucleotides. RefSeq lists it as uncharacterized. NCBI's taxonomy places the organism in Eukaryota, Metazoa, Chordata, Mammalia, Carnivora, Felidae. The record is from RefSeq and is a predicted model, not a curated record. The transcript has 3 exons.